CCAAUAGCGUAUAUUAAAGUUGCUGCAGUUAAAAAGCUCGUAGUUGAAUUUCGGGACUAAUAUGUCGGUCGUGCCUCGGUACGUACUGGUAUUUUUGGUUUCUCCCUUCUGACGAACCUUGAUGUCAUUAAUUUGGUGUCUUGGGAAAUCAGGACUGUUACUUUGAAAAAAUUAGAGUGUUUAAAGCAGGCUCACGCUUGAAUACAUUAGCAUGGAAUAAUGAAAUAGGACGUUUGAUUCUAUUUUGUUGGUUUCUAGGAUCGACGUAAUGAUUAAGAGGGAUAGUUGGGGGCAUUAGUAUUCAAUUGUCAGAGGUGAAAUUCUUGGAUUUAUUGAAGACUAACUACUGCGAAAGCAUUUGCCAAGGAUGUUUUCAUUAAUCAAGAACGAAAGUUAGGGGAUCGAAGACGAUCAGAUACCGUCGUAGUCUUAACCAUAAACUAUGCCGACUAGGGAUCGGAUAAUGUUAAUUUUUUAAUGACUCAUUCGGCGCCUUACG
Molecule: ribosomal RNA, 499 nt
Filed under: uncultured Glomeromycotina
Lineage: Eukaryota; Fungi; Glomeromycota
Description: partial small subunit ribosomal RNA
Rfam family: Eukaryotic small subunit ribosomal RNA
Source: RNAcentral